This 630-nucleotide ribosomal RNA is filed under the name Cunninghamella polymorpha. RNAcentral describes it as "LSU rRNA". It matches the Rfam family "Eukaryotic large subunit ribosomal RNA", at positions 89 to 639 of the family's 3401-position model. The record is from RNAcentral. Lineage: Eukaryota; Fungi; Mucoromycota; Mucoromycetes; Mucorales; Cunninghamellaceae.
GCGAGUGAAGAGGGAAAAGCUCAAAGUUGGAACCUGGUAGGCAUAGCUUACCCGGAUUGUAAACUAAAGUUUUCGAGUCGUUUAGUCAGCCAGGUAAAUAAGUCCUCUGGAAAGGGGCGACAUAGAGGGUGAAAUCCCCGUCUUUGGCCUGAGUUUUGAUUAGGCGUUUGGCUUGGAAACGAAGAGUCAGGUUGUUUGGGAAUGCAGCCUAAAAUGGGAGGUAAAUCUCUCCUAAAGCUAAAUAUUGACGAAAGACCGAUAGCGAACAAGUACCGUGAGGGAAAGAUGAAAAGCACUUUGAAAAGAGGGUCAAAAAGUACGUGAAAUUGCUGAAAGGGAACCGUAUGAAAUCAGAUCUACUGGUAGGUAAUCAAUCUUUCCUUUGGGAAGGAUGCACUUGCCUACUAUGUAUGCCAGCGACAUUUUGGUUGGGAGGAAAAAAAUAAAGGAAAUGUAGCUUAGGUUUCGGCUUAGGUGUUAUAGUCCUUUAUAAAAUACUCUCGGCUGGAAUGAGGAACGCAGCAAACCGUAAGGCGAAGAUUUCAGGCGCUUAGAGGGAAUAAUUAGAGAAUUUCUGCUUCGGGUGGUGCUUUGAUUAUUACCUUUAACACGCUUGGAGUUCUUUUAAUU